This 434-nucleotide ribosomal RNA is filed under the name uncultured Lachnospiraceae bacterium. RNAcentral's name for it is "partial 16S ribosomal RNA". It matches the Rfam family "Bacterial small subunit ribosomal RNA", at positions 341 to 792 of the family's 1533-position model. Lineage: Bacteria; Bacillati; Bacillota; Clostridia; Lachnospirales; Lachnospiraceae. The record is from RNAcentral.
ACGGGAGGUAGCAGUGGGGAAUAUUGCACAAUGGGGGAAACCCUGAUGCAGCGACGCCGCGUGAGUGAAGAAGUAUUUCGGUAUGUAAAGCUCUAUCAGCAGGAAAGAAAAUGACGGUACCUGACUAAGAAGCCCCGGCUAACUACGUGCCAGCAGCCGCGGUAAUACGUAGGGGGCAAGCGUUAUCCGGAUUUACUGGGUGUAAAGGGGGCGUAGACGGCUUUGCAAGUCUGAAGUGAAAGCCCGGGGCUCAACCCCGGAACUGCUUUGGAAACUGUAGAGCUAGAGUGCAGGAGAUGUAAGUGGAAUUCCUAUUGUAGCGGUGAAAUGCGUAGAUAUUAGGAGGAACACCAGUGGCGAAGGCGGCUUACUGGACUGUAACUGACGUUGAGGCUCGAAGGCGUGGGGAGCAAACAGGAUUAGAUACCCUGGUA